RNAcentral lists this ribosomal RNA (491 nucleotides) under uncultured soil bacterium. RNAcentral's name for it is "bacterial SSU rRNA". It matches the Rfam family "Bacterial small subunit ribosomal RNA", at positions 26 to 520 of the family's 1533-position model. The record is from RNAcentral.
AGGACGAACGCUGGCGGCGUGCUUAACACAUGCAAGUCGAGCGGUAAGGCCUUUCGGGGUACGCGAGCGGCGAACGGGUGAGUAACACGUGGGUGAUCUGCCCUGCACUUCGGGAUAAGCCUGGGAAACUGGGUCUAAUACCGGAUAUGACUUCAGGUUGCAUGACUUGGGGUGGAAAGAUUUAUCGGUGCAGGAUGGGCCCGCGGCCUAUCAGCUUGUUGGUGGGGUAAUGGCCUACCAAGGCGACGACGGGUAGCCGACCUGAGAGGGUGACCGGCCACACUGGGACUGAGACACGGCCCAGACUCCGUACGGGAGGCAGCAGUGGGAAUAUGCACAAGUGGGACGAAAGCCUGAUGCAGCGACGCCGCGUGGAGGAUGGACGGUCCGUUCGGGUUCGUAAAACCUUCUUUACACGGCGAACGGGACGAAGCGACAAGUGACGGUACCUGACAGGACGGAAGCGACCGGACUAACGUACGUCGCCACGC